AGUCGACGAACUCUGGUAUUGAUUGGUGCUUGCAUCAUGAUUUACAUUUGAGUGAGUGGCGAACUGGUGAGUAACACGUGGGAAACCUGCCCAGAAGCGGGGGAUAACACCUGGAAACAGAUGCUAAUACCGCAUAACAACUUGGACCGCAUGGUCCGAGUUUGAAAGAUGGCUUCGGCUAUCACUUUUGGAUGGUCCCGCGGCGUAUUAGCUAGAUGGUGGGGUAACGGCUCACCAUGGCAAUGAUACGUAGCCGACCUGAGAGGGUAAUCGGCCACAUUGGGACUGAGACACGGCCCAAACUCCUACGGGAGGCAGCAGUAGGGAAUCUUCCACAAUGGACGAAAGUCUGAUGGAGCAACGCCGCGUGAGUGAAGAAGGGUUUCGGCUCGUAAAACUCUGUUGUUAAAGAAGAACAUAUCUGAGAGUAACUGUUCAGGUAUUGACGGUAUUUAACCAGAAAGCCACGGCUAACUACGUGCCAGCAGCCGCGGUAAUACGUAGGUGGCAAGCGUUGUCCGGAUUUAUUGGGCGUAAAGCGAGCGCAGGCGGUUUUUUAAGUCUGAUGUGAAAGCCUUCGGCUCAACCGAAGAAGUGCAUCGGAAACUGGGAAACUUGAGUGCAGAAGAGGACAGUGGAACUCCAUGUGUAGCGGUGAAAUGCGUAGAUAUAUGGAAGAACACCAGUGGCGAAGGCGGCUGUCUGGUCUGUAACUGACGCUGAGGCUCGAAAGUAUGGGUAGCAAACAGGAUUAGAUACCCUGGUAGUCCAUACCGUAAACGAUGAAUGCUAAGUGUUGGAGGGUUUCCGCCCUUCAGUGCUGCAGC
Molecule: ribosomal RNA, 827 nt
Filed under: Lactiplantibacillus plantarum
Lineage: Bacteria; Bacillati; Bacillota; Bacilli; Lactobacillales; Lactobacillaceae
Description: bacterial SSU rRNA
Rfam family: Bacterial small subunit ribosomal RNA
Source: RNAcentral